RNAcentral lists this transfer RNA (69 nucleotides) under Caerostris darwini. RNAcentral's name for it is "tRNA-Thr". It matches the Rfam family "tRNA". From Rfam's summary of the family: Transfer RNA (tRNA) molecules are approximately 80 nucleotides in length. Their secondary structure includes four short double-helical elements and three loops (D, anti-codon, and T loops). Lineage: Eukaryota; Metazoa; Arthropoda; Arachnida; Araneae; Araneidae. The record is from RNAcentral.
GCCACCAUAGCUCAGUGGUUAGAGCACUGGUCUUGUAAACCAGGGUGAGUUCAAUCCUCACUGGUGAUG